UACGUAGGGGGCAAGCGUUGUCCGGAUUUAUUGGCGUAAAGAGCGUGUAGGCGGUUUGGUAGGUCCGCUGUGAAAACUCGAGGCUCAACCUCGAGACGCCGGUGGAAACCAUCAGGCUAGAGUCCGGAAGAGGAGAGUGGAAUUCCUGGUGUAGCGGUGAAAUGCGCAGAUAUCAGGAAGAACACCCGUGGCUAAGGCGGCUCUCUAGUACGGUACUGACGCUGAGACGCGAAAGCGUGGGGAGCGAACAGG
This 252-nucleotide ribosomal RNA is filed under the name uncultured bacterium. RNAcentral describes it as "partial 16S ribosomal RNA". It matches the Rfam family "Bacterial small subunit ribosomal RNA", at positions 524 to 776 of the family's 1533-position model. The record is from RNAcentral.